RNAcentral lists this ribosomal RNA (256 nucleotides) under uncultured bacterium. RNAcentral describes it as "partial 16S ribosomal RNA". It matches the Rfam family "Bacterial small subunit ribosomal RNA", at positions 524 to 776 of the family's 1533-position model. The record is from RNAcentral.
UACGUAGGGGGCAAGCGUUGUCCGGAUUUAUUGGGCGUAAAGAGCGUGUAGGCGGCCUGAAAGGUCAGCUGUGAAAACUCGAGGCUCAACCCUCGAGACGUCGGCGGAAACCAUCUGGCUAGAGUCCGGAAGAGGAGAGUGGAAUUCCACGUGUAGCGGUGAAAUGCGUAGAGAUGUGGAGGAACACCAGUGGCGAAGGCGACUCUUUGGCCUGUAACUGACGCUGAGGCGCGAAAGGCGUGGGGGAGCAAACAGG